This 433-nucleotide ribosomal RNA is filed under the name uncultured bacterium. Its description in RNAcentral is "partial 16S ribosomal RNA". It matches the Rfam family "Bacterial small subunit ribosomal RNA", at positions 29 to 507 of the family's 1533-position model. The record is from RNAcentral.
AACGAACGCUGGCGGCAUGCCUAACACAUGCAAGUCGAACGAGACCUUCGGGUCUAGUGGCGCACGGGUGCGUAAAGCGUGGGAACCUGCCCUUAGGUUCGGAAUAACUCCCCGAAAGGGGUGCUAAUACUGGAUAAUGUCUUCGGACCAAAGAUUUAUCGCCUUUGGAUGGGCCCGCGUUGGAUUAGCUAGUUGGUAGGGUAAAAGCCUACCAAGGCGACGAUCCAUAGCUGGUCUGUGAGGAUGACCAGCCACACUGGGACUGAGACACGGCCCAGACUCCUACGGGAGGCAGCAGUGUGUAAUAUUGGACAAUGGGCGAAAGCCUGAUCCAGCAAUGCCGCGUGAGUGAUGAAGGCCUUAGGGUUCUAAAGCUCGUUUACCCGGGAUGAUAAUGACAGUACCGGGAGAAUAAGCUCCGGCUAACUCCGUG